This 1165-nucleotide long non-coding RNA is filed under the name Bos taurus (domestic cattle). Its description in RNAcentral is "long non-coding RNA NONBTAT022264". The record is from RNAcentral. Lineage: Eukaryota; Metazoa; Chordata; Mammalia; Artiodactyla; Bovidae.
AGACCCUGUAAGCCACAAAGAAGAAUUGACUUUGGUUGAAGGAAGUGGCUGUGACCUAGAAACAAUAUCUAGUAUUAGCUAGAGACCUGGAAAUCUGGGUUCUUAUUCCUAGUUCUUCAUUUCUGUCACAUAUACUUAAUUGACAUUACAUUAGAAUAUUAACCUUUUCCUAUAUGGACCAUCUAUUUAAUAACAAAAGUUCUUAGUGAAGUAUUUAGUCUUGGUUUUUCUGCUUGUACAAUUUCUCUGCCCUCCCAACAAAGAUAGUAUGGGGUAGCACAUAAAGUAUUCCUUUUAACCUAAUUAGUAAUUUAUAUUAUUCUGUAUUGAGCACACCCUUACUCAUUAUUUGGCUUGUAAACAUUCACCUAAAUUAUGGCUACAAUAAUUUUUAAAUAGUCUGGAAAAAAGCUUCACAUUUUAAUCACUUUUGGCUCUUAAACAGCCCACAAAUGCCAUUAAUAGUUUAUUUUGUUUUAGAGUUAUUUAAUGUUAUUUUAUGCAAAAUAAUGUUUUGUUUUGUUUUGCUUUCCACAUGGAAAAAACAUUAGAACUGUGUAUAGUAAAAGAUUUUAUGAUGUAUCUAUCCAAACACUAUCCCAUGUUCAACAAGUCAUAUUUUACUUAAACUACUUGGAGAGAGUUUCUAAAGUAACUAUUAACUACAGCCAUUCAGUGGUUACUUUUAGUGUCUUUGUGAUAUGCGAUGUUACAGUGUUUAUAAAUUAUCUGUAUCUUAUAUUUUCAAAGGAACCUCAGAAGUCUCACACCCUGAAUCAAAGUCUGUCAAUGAAUAUGUGCUAAAAUUUGACCAGCUCAGCUUAAGACACAAAACAGCAACUUGAAGGAGAAAUCGAGAGUUUAAAUUAAUGGGUGAAAUUUUUGUUGUUGCAAUAGUAGGUUUAGUCUUAACUUUAUAACAUUUCUAAAUGAAAAGUCAUAUGUAUUUGUUACUGUGUCUGAUGAUUACUUUGUUAAAAGCAAAAGUGGUCAUGUGAUGUACCAAAUGUUAACUGCUGUUUUUAAAUGUUUAAAUCAUGCCAAACAAAUCAUGUCUGUGCCAUCCAGGGUUUAUUGUAAUCUUUUACUGAGUACUUGGAUUGGGAAAAAGGGCUUGUACUAUGCACUUUUUAUUAAUGAAUAAAUAGGAAACAUUAGUAACACU